AAAACAUUUCAGUUGUUAUGGUAAAAAAAAUGUUCUGUUAUUGACAGAAGUGGGAAGUUUUUAGUGGUCUUAUUGUAUUUUUUAUCUUCAGACUUCAAUUAGAAUAUACUCAACUUUGAAUAUGACAAAACAAAUUUGAUUAAGUGUAGAAAUGCAUAUCUGGUGCUACAAAAAUAAAUAUCAUUAUGUUUUGAGUUAAUGGUCCCUCAAAAAGGAUUUGUAUUUUUAUACAGUAACUGGUAUAUUUGAUUUUAUUGAGUGUACUUUUGUUUCUUUUGUUUUUGAAUUAACUGUAUUUUUUGUAAACAUUGUAAAU
This 316-nucleotide long non-coding RNA is filed under the name Mytilus galloprovincialis (Mediterranean mussel). Lineage: Eukaryota; Metazoa; Mollusca; Bivalvia; Mytilida; Mytilidae. The record is from RNAcentral.